Molecule: unclassified non-coding RNA, 249 nt
Filed under: Hevea brasiliensis (rubber tree)
Lineage: Eukaryota; Viridiplantae; Streptophyta; Magnoliopsida; Malpighiales; Euphorbiaceae
Source: RNAcentral
GUGGAACCUGAACUUCUUAUCGGAAACCCACUGGAUAGUGUAACUUGAUCAUAGAAUUAGCAUGGCUGCAUAUGCAGUUCCACCUGUAGAGGAGUUGCUGUCAAAACGAGUUCAAGAAAUGGUCCUUCACGGGGAGGAGCCACUUGGACCUUAUAUUUGCAGAAGUGGUGAAGAUGUUGAUGAAAAACAAGACAUCAUGGAUACUUCUCCAAUUCCUACAAUUGAUCUAAACCUCCUGUCUUGUUCUGC